Molecule: ribosomal RNA, 301 nt
Filed under: uncultured bacterium
Lineage: Bacteria
Description: partial 16S ribosomal RNA
Rfam family: Bacterial small subunit ribosomal RNA
Source: RNAcentral
CAGUAGCCACGGUAAUACGAAGGGUGCAAGCGUUACUCGGAAUUACUGGGCGUAAAGCGUGCGUAGGUGGUUGUUUAAGUCUGCUGUGAAAGCCCUGGGCUCAACCUGGGAAUUGCAGUGGAUACUGGGCAACUAGAGUAAGGUAGAGGAUAGUGGAAUUUCCGGUGUAGCAGUGAAAUGCGUAGAGAUCGGAAGGAACAUCUGUGGCGAAGGCGACUAUCUGGGCCAUUACUGACACUGAGGCACGAAAGCGUGGGGAGCAAACAGGAUUAGAUACCCCUGUAGUCCCUGUCUCUUAUAA